UAUUAUUUGGAGAUACACUUUACUG
Molecule: non-coding RNA, 25 nt
Filed under: Mus musculus (house mouse)
Lineage: Eukaryota; Metazoa; Chordata; Mammalia; Rodentia; Muridae
Source: RNAcentral